RNAcentral lists this long non-coding RNA (450 nucleotides) under Sinocyclocheilus grahami. RNAcentral describes it as "lncRNA (ENSSGRG00000022898.1)". Lineage: Eukaryota; Metazoa; Chordata; Actinopteri; Cypriniformes; Cyprinidae. The record is from RNAcentral.
UCGGCAGGUAACAAGACCUUGAGGCACACCGUGGGCGGGGCUUAACGGACCAGGAUUGGUCCUUAUUGGUCAGGAUGUGUCUGGAGUGAUGUUCGCAGGCUGUUAUGCUGAUGUAUUCAGUACGGACACGCUGAUGGAGUCUUUGGAGCGACGGCUACAGAGGCCUUUGUUGGCCAAAUCCAGGACAUUACCCAGCAUCCCUCAGUCCCCCGCCGCCAUCCGCGUGCAGCAGUCGGAGAAAGUUUGUGAACGUCAACAGCGCCCACAUGUUCCUUCCAGCCCUGGUGGUCUUGAAGCAUGUACGCUGCCUCCUGCAGGCGAGAUGUGGCGGCUGGAAGAUGAAAACGAGGCCGAAGUCGCUCCGGGUGCCGUCGACCCGCGGCCGCGCUCUCAGUCGCCGUUCUCACAUUUCCGGCGGCGGGCGGCAUAUCUGAGGAAAAGCAUCUCGGC